UAGCGUUGUUCGGAAUUACUGGGCGUAAAGCGCGCGCAGGCGGUCCUUCAAGUCAGAGGUGAAAGCCCAGAGCUCAACUCUGGAACGGCCUUUGAGACUAGAGGACUAGGGUACGGGAGAGGUGAGUGGAAUUCCGAGUGUAGAGGUGAAAUUCGUAGAUAUUCGGAAGAACACCAGUGGCGAAGGCGGCUCACUGGCCCGUUACCGGCGCUCAGGCGCGACAGCGUGGGGAGCAAACAGG
This 241-nucleotide ribosomal RNA is filed under the name uncultured bacterium. RNAcentral's name for it is "partial 16S ribosomal RNA". It matches the Rfam family "Bacterial small subunit ribosomal RNA", at positions 536 to 776 of the family's 1533-position model. The record is from RNAcentral.